GGGGAUGUAAUGGUUUCGACAUUUAUCCAGAAGUAUAAAUAGCGAGUAGUGGAUUCUCGCCAGGCCACUUAAAAAGGUGAGAAAAUAAAAUAAACGCUGAUAAUAGAGAAUUAGCAUACGCUGCCUAGGCGCAGUGUCAUCUAUUUAUAGUUUACCCACGGCUAUAAAAUAGGUGUCGACUUAGUGGGAAACAAAUCUAUUUAGUUCUUCAGAAAUAGAGGGGACUUUAGAGAAGAUAUAUUUUAUUUAGUUUUGUUUAUUAAUCUAAAUAAAAAAGAAAUUAAAUAAUAAACUGCACUCGGAGAAGUUUAUAUGGAAGGAUUUAUGGACAGGAGUUCGACUCUCCUCAUCUCCACCA
This 358-nucleotide small RNA is filed under the name Clostridia. Its description in RNAcentral is "Merdicola sp905200315 Standard tmRNA". It matches the Rfam family "transfer-messenger RNA". Rfam says of the family: Bacterial tmRNA, also known as 10Sa RNA or SsrA, is named for its dual tRNA and mRNA-like properties. The record is from RNAcentral. Lineage: Bacteria; Bacillati; Bacillota. RNAcentral also lists the same sequence under 1 other name.